UGCGAAGGGUGCAAGCGUUACUCGGAAUUACUGGGCGUAAAGCGUGCGUAGGUGGUUUUUUAAGUCCGUUGUGAAAGCCCUGGGCUCAACCUGGGAAUGGCAGUGGAUACUGGAAAGCUAGAGUGCGGUAGAGGGUAGUGGAAUUCCCGGUGUAGCAGUGAAAUUCGUAGAUAUCGGGAGGAACACCGGUGGCGAAGGCGGCGAUCUGGGUCGAUACUGACGCUGAGGUGCGAAAGCGUGGGGAGCAAACAGG
RNAcentral lists this ribosomal RNA (253 nucleotides) under uncultured bacterium. RNAcentral describes it as "partial 16S ribosomal RNA". It matches the Rfam family "Bacterial small subunit ribosomal RNA", at positions 524 to 776 of the family's 1533-position model. The record is from RNAcentral.